CUAAUACAUGCCGUAGAACGCACAGGAUGCACCGUAGUUACUACACCGUAUUCUGUGAGUUGCGAACGGGUGAGUACGCGUAGGUAACCUGCCUGGUAGCGGGGGAUAACUAUUGUAAACGAUAGCUAAUACCGCAUAAGAACAUUUACUGCAUGGUAGAUGUUUAAAAGGUGCAAAAGCAUCACUACCAGAUGGACCUGUGUUGUAUUAGCUAGUUGGUGAGGUAACGGCUGCACCAAGGCAACGAUACAUAGCCGACCUGAGAGGGUGAUCGGCCACAAUGGGACUGAGACACGGCCCAGACUCCUAGGGGAGGCAGCAGUAGGGAAUCUUCGGCAAUGGGGGGAAGCCCUGAACCGAGCAACGCCAGCGUGAGUGAAGAAGGUUUUCGGAUACGUAAAGCUCUGUUGUUAAGGAAGAACGUGUGUGAGAGUGGAAAGUUGCACACA
This 449-nucleotide ribosomal RNA is filed under the name Streptococcus constellatus. Its description in RNAcentral is "bacterial SSU rRNA". It matches the Rfam family "Bacterial small subunit ribosomal RNA", at positions 48 to 470 of the family's 1533-position model. The record is from RNAcentral. Lineage: Bacteria; Bacillati; Bacillota; Bacilli; Lactobacillales; Streptococcaceae.